RNAcentral lists this ribosomal RNA (446 nucleotides) under uncultured bacterium. RNAcentral's name for it is "partial 16S ribosomal RNA". It matches the Rfam family "Bacterial small subunit ribosomal RNA", at positions 338 to 795 of the family's 1533-position model. The record is from RNAcentral.
CCUACGGGUGGCUGCAGUCGAGAAUCAUUCACAAUGGGCGAAACCCUGAUGGUGCGACGCCGCGUGGGGGAAUGCAGGUCUUCGGAUUGUAAACCCCUGUCAUGUGGGAGCAAAUUAAAAAGAUAGUACCACAAUAGGAAGACACGGCUAACUCUGUGCCAGCAGCCGCGGUAAGACAGAGGUCUCAAGCGUUGUUCGGAAUCACUGGGCGUAAAGCGUGCGUAGGCUGUUUCGUAAGUCGUGUGUGAAAGGCGCGGGCUCAACCCGCGGAAGGCACAUGAUACUGCGAGACUAGAGUAAAGGAGGGGGAACCGGAAUUCUCGGUGUAGCAGUGAAAUGCGUAGAUAUCGGGAGGAACACUCGUGGCGAAGGCGGGUUCCUGGACAGUAACUGACGCUGAGGCACGAAGGCCAGGGGAGCGAAAGGGAUUAGAUACCCGGGUAGUC